GCAGAGUAGGAAAUCCAGCGUAAAGUGUCGGUCAGACGGGGAGUUGCUGACAGAACGAAGAGUGAAAGAACUCGCGAUGGGAUUUUCGCAUCCCGCUGU
This 99-nucleotide non-coding RNA is filed under the name uncultured Catonella sp. Its description in RNAcentral is "THF riboswitch". It matches the Rfam family "THF (Tetrahydrofolate) riboswitch aptamer". Rfam says of the family: THF riboswitch presents a pseudoknot that joins P1-P2 and the loop of P3 and two THF binding. Lineage: Bacteria; Bacillati; Bacillota; Clostridia; Lachnospirales; Lachnospiraceae. The record is from RNAcentral.